This 253-nucleotide ribosomal RNA is filed under the name uncultured prokaryote. RNAcentral's name for it is "partial 16S ribosomal RNA". It matches the Rfam family "Bacterial small subunit ribosomal RNA", at positions 525 to 777 of the family's 1533-position model. The record is from RNAcentral.
ACGUAGGUGGCAAGCGUUGUCCGGAUUUAUUGGGUUUAAAGGGUGCGUAGGCGGCCCUGUAAGUCAGUGCUGAAAUCCCCCGGCUUAACCGGGGUGGUGGCAUUGAUACUGCAGGGCUUGAGUACAGAUGAGGUAGGCGGAAUUGACGGUGUAGCGGUGAAAUGCGUAGAUAUCGGGAGGAACACCUGUGGCGAAAGCGGCAUACUGGACCACAACUGACGCUGAGGCGCGAAAGCUAGGGGAGCAAACAGGA